UACGACGGGGGCUAGCGUUGUUCGGAUUUACUGGGCGUAAAGCGCACGUAGGCGGCUCUUUAAGUCAGAGGUGAAAUCCCAAGGCUCAACCUUGGAACUGCCUUUGAUACUGGAGACCUUGAGUCCGGGAGAGGUGAGUGGAACUGCGAGUGUAGAGGUGAAAUUCGUAGAUAUUCGCAAGAACACCAGUGGCGAAGGCGGCUCACUGGCCCGGUACUGACGCUGAGGUGCGAAAGCGUGGGGAGCAAACAGG
This 253-nucleotide ribosomal RNA is filed under the name uncultured bacterium. RNAcentral's name for it is "partial 16S ribosomal RNA". It matches the Rfam family "Bacterial small subunit ribosomal RNA", at positions 524 to 776 of the family's 1533-position model. The record is from RNAcentral.